Long non-coding RNA from Pocillopora damicornis (cauliflower coral), 223 nucleotides. The record is from RefSeq and is a predicted model, not a curated record. NCBI's taxonomy places the organism in Eukaryota, Metazoa, Cnidaria, Anthozoa, Scleractinia, Pocilloporidae.
AAGAUAGCUGUCAGUACGGUUUUGUAAAAUGUCAAGCGUGCGGUGAAACUGUGGAGAGAAGACAGCUCACGGCGCACAGGGAGCAAGAUUGUACCAACAGGGCAGUGGCGUGUACUUACUGUGGUGGUGAAGUUCGGCAUAGCUAUAUGAAGGUUCACAAGUAUCUUCAAAGGUCAAUAAGGAGAACAUGUACUUUGCUAUGACUGUUUGUUGAAAAAUACAA